RNAcentral lists this long non-coding RNA (10732 nucleotides) under Medicago truncatula (barrel medic). RNAcentral describes it as "long non-coding RNA (MTRU_LNC003856)". The record is from RNAcentral. Lineage: Eukaryota; Viridiplantae; Streptophyta; Magnoliopsida; Fabales; Fabaceae.
AGAGCUUGGAAGAGCUUAGAGAGAUAAACUUGGAUUACAAAGGAGGGAACCAAAGGGUUGAGUGUCUUUGUAGAGAGUGUCUCUUGGGUUGGGAAAAACAUUGUAAUCACCUUGGGUAGUGAGGAGUUCACCAUUGGAAGGAUCUAAAGCUUCCUCUAGUGUCUUCUCUUUUAGGGUUCAUAUUGUGAGAGUGGGGAAACACCAAAGGGUAGAAUCUAGGUCUUGUUUCUUGUGUAAGCUUGCAAGCUAUUGUUUCUUGUAACCCUUUGUAACACUUUCAUCAUAUUGGAUUGGAGAGCUGCUCUCUCCCCCAGAUUAGGCCAUAUUGGCUGAACUGGGUCAACAAUCUCUUUGGUGUGUUUGUUCUUUCUUUCUUGCUUAUAUUGUUUGCUUUGUAUUCUCUUUGUGGUGUUGCUCUACACUAGACUAGGGCUGGUUUUGUUGUUGUUGCUUGGGAAACUUUUUACUCUUUGAUUACCACUAUCUUUUGCUCCACACAUCUUUGUUUUCAUUGGUGUGAGUUUUAACCGGAUUCACAACAUGCAUGAUCAUUGAAACAUGCCAAAUAACACAAACCAAACAACUUUGUGUAUGUGCAAUGCUUUUUACAAGAUUAUCAACAUGAUUUCUUAGAGUAUAAUCAUUACGAAUGUUUCGGCGAGGAAAAAUGAAACAAGGGAUGAAGAAAUAUAAAGGAGCCACUUGCUGAUUAAGACACACCACAUGCGAGCCACAGGUCCCACCAUAGUAGAUCAGAUUGCUACUGCCCAAGACGCCUAGAGUAGGAGCUGGUGUGUGUCGUACACAUAUUGUUCCAAAAAAUUCGGGUUUUACACACCUAUAAAUAUAGAAGCCUUGCCUCACUUUAAGAAAAAAAAAACGUUCUAACGACGGGAAAAAGGUGAAAUCACACGAUUUUGGAAGGCUACCAACGACCAGAGGCAUCCUAGAGGCGAGGAUUUUUUUUUUUUUUGAACAAAUCAAAAUGGAAUAUAUUGCACAAAAGAGAAGUGAUUCACCCCGCACAAGGUGUACUAAAAGCGAUGAAUCACUCAAAGUCUGAUACAGUAACUAGGUGACGGGCACACACGCAUGACACAGUCAACUAAAAAAGAUAAAUAACAUUAGACAGCACCUAUACAAAGAAGUGGGUGCCUCCACCAAUCAUGAAAACCAUACGCCAUUGUUACAGAAUUUGACGAAAGCCAUAAAAAAGUAUCCAACUUCACCUUUUCGACAAUAUUGUAAGGAUCAAUUACCACAUUUUUGAAGAUACAGUUAUUUCUCUCCUUCCAUAUUGCCCAUACACAGGCAAGCCAAAUAACCUUAAGAUAAAAAUGAGAAGCUCGUGGCAUACCCGCCAAAUGAGUAAACUGAUAGUAGUGAUCCACAACCGAACCUGGAAGAACAUAAGAAAAACCAAUCCAUUGACAUAAUAAAUACCAAACUUUCCCAAACAAUUCGCAACCUAACACAAGAUGCUCCGCCGUCUCAAUGAAACCACGUCCUCCAACACACAAAGUGUCGUUAGCUUGAAGAACAUGUCGAAGCGCCAAGUUUGACCUUGUCGGAAUUCUAUCUUUCAAUAGACGCCAAGUGAAAAGAGAAACUUUUGUAGGAACCAAUUUGUGCCACACGUUUGUGUUUGUAACAACAGCCACCUGAUCCUCUAAAGAUGUUAGAAAGCGAUAAGUCCCACUAACCGAGUAGCCAUGAAUAGGAUCAAGCAACCAACGCUAGUGGUUCUGUAAAUUUUCCUGCAGAAUAACGUUAGUCAAUAAAUUCACACACUCCCUCACACUAUCCUCCUCCCAAGCCAACAACCGAUGUCGCCAUCUCCACCCACCUCCGCCUUCCUCCCACCCCAAUCCCGCCAUAUCCUCCACGGAACAUUCCUUAUGUAUUGACAAAUCAAAUAGGCGGUUGAAACGAAUGCGUAAAGGAAUUCCAUCCAGCCAAUUGUCAGUCCAAAAGAAAGUAUUACGACCACUACCUACCACCUACCUACAAUUAUCAUCAAACCCCGUUCCCACCCCUUCUCUAACGUGACACAUCAUCCUCCACCACCCUGAAGUACUUCUUCCCCCUCCCUGAAUUCGAGUAGCUAAUAUCCUUGGGUUAGGUCAUUUGGAUUACCCUCUCUGCAACUAUUUGAACGUAAUCAAUCGGUACUUUUGAAUAGAGUUACUCUAUUUGAUUUUAUUCGAUUAUGACUUGCUUAUUAAUGUGUUUUAUACGUUUAUAAAUGUUAGUUAAAUGAUCCAAUCACAUUGCCCAUUAACCCUAGCACUGAGAUUUGCACUAGUUAUUAAAUGUUCAAUUUGUAGUAGUUAUUUCUUUUGGUUUCAUUCAAUUUCAUGGCAUGGACCAACUCUCUGAAUACUAUACUAAUGCUGGCCGCAAGAUAGAUUUGUUAUUUCUAACGAUUAGCUUGAUUGAGUUAGGGUUUUAAAUCAAUUUUGGUUCUUUUGUUUUACAAAUCAAAACACGUGAUCUAUUGUUUCUUUCACUUGAACGCUUGAUUGAGUGUCAUUGUUUCCAUGUUUAAUUUUGUUAUUUUUGGUAACAGCACAGUACAUAUAAAAAAAGAGUAAAAUAAUAAAGGAAGCACCCCACCGUAUAAGGGGGUUAAUUAUUUAUUAUUAUUUUUUAAAUUAGGUAUCCUCUGCGUACAAUUGUGAAGACGAAUUCCUCAAAUCUUGGAUGUGUAUAAACUCAUUUAUUUGGUCCGUGUUUAAGUUUUUUUCUUCCGAUAUUAGAAACUAUAUAUUGAAUAGUCCGUAAAACAAAGAAAGCCACUAUUAACAAAAACCAACUCCUCAAAGAAUAAACAUCCGAAUGAUGCAUAGUGUAAUUAGAUUAAGAAUUUGUCAUUCAAAACAAUAGAGAAUUGAAAUGGUUAAUAAUGUGUCAUUAAAACCAAUAGAAAAUUGAAAUUAAAGAAAACUAGAAUAUUGUACCAAAAAAAAAAAAAAAAACUAAACUAACUUAAAUUUAGCAGUCCAAAAACAAAUGUGUAGAAAAUAAAGACAAUUACAAGAACUGAACAACUAUAUUCUAUCAUUAUCUGUGUUUCUCUUUCUCCUGGUGCAUUUUUAGUAGAGAUCUCUUCCCAAUUAAAGACGAGAAACCAUGAAAGUGUGAUGCACCAUAGGAUAGAAGUGAUAGCCGCAGCGGUACGCGAAACUACAAAGACUUCUAUAAUUGAUGUCACACUUGAUAGCAACAGAACGCAUAAGAUUGCAAAUAUAUUGUUGUUGUGGUCAUUGUUGUUGGAACGAUGUUGUAGUGUAACAAGUAGUAUCAUUUGAAAAACUAAAACAAAAACACAGAGUGAGAGCAACACUAUAGUGUCAUGUUGUGCAAUGAAUUUACCAGCGAAUGAUGACAUCUUUAGGGCUACGCAGAUAAUUAAAAGCAUGGAUAAUUGCCCUGCAUGCGGACACAAGUACUUGCAGAAAGCUCUCAUCUACGUUGUUCAUCAUGAACCUAUAAAUUAAUGAGAUAAUUAGAUACAUACAUUGAUUUUUGAGUUUUUGUUUUGUUGUGUAACCUAAAGAAAUUAAAAGACGCAGAAUAGUAAAUAUAUGAAGGUAAAUCAAAGGGAUUGAGUACCUUGGGUUAACUGGAUUAGAGGAUAUAUAUAUAUAUAUAUAUAUAUAUAUAUAUAUAUAUAUUGUCAGGUAGUCUAGUGGAUAGAAUUCACCUUAUAAGGUGAAUAAGUGGGGUUCGAACCCUGAUCCCUCCCUGCAUAUAAUAAUGUAUUAUCCUACCAAUGAGUUAGGCUCACGAGACACGGGAUAGAGGAUUUAUAUUCUUCCAUCUUAAUCACUUGAUAUGCUAUCACAAACAAUAACAAUGCAUGUAGAUAUGUUCAUGAGAUUUUUUUAUUUAUUUUUUGACAAAAAUAUAUAGGCAUGAGAUAUACAUAUAUGCAUCUAUAUAUAACCAGCGACACUCUUUAGAUAGUAAAUUUUUAUAGAAAUUUAUAUAUUCAAUGUAUUGAAAAUUGAAGUAUUAAACUUUUUUAAUGAAUAAUUUCUUAACUAUGAAUCCUUAAAGAGUACCCUAAAAGUACUAAAAGAGUAGAAUUAAAAUAAAAUAAAAAAGAUUAAAGAGAUCUAGUAUCUUGGAUUAAAUGGAGUAGAGGACUUCAAUUUUCCUUCCAUCGUAAUCAAUAAUCACUUGAUCUUCCCUUGUUUGGCAGCACUUGAGUCAAUUAGGUUAAUGACUAAUUAUUAUAGUAGGACUAUUUAAAAAGAUGUUCCCGCAAAGCCAUAACAAACUUAAGAAGACAAGUAUCGCAAAUUUGGUAUUCAUUAUUUAAUAAAAGUAAUUUUGACAUAAAAUAAUUUAGAGGAUUAUGAGCUCGUUUAUUAUUGUUUUUUUAAGAUAAAAAUCACUUUUAAAAAAAAAAAAAAAAUCACUUUUAAGAGUUUUAAAUCCGUUUGUUAUAAAUUUUUUAAAAAAUUAGAAUCUAACAAAAAUUUUAAAAAAGCUUCAAAUGAGAAGCUGUUAAAAGCAGCGUCUAAAAAAAAAAUAAUUUAGAGGAUAGAGAAAAAAUGGUUUAAAAGAUUGAACUAAUUUUAUAACAAAAAAAAAUCUCUUUUAUGUAGUUAUGUCAAACAAACUAAAUUAUUUGUUUUAAAAAAGUGAUUUUUAUUACGGUUAAACAAACGCUACUUCUUAAGACGCCAAGAGUAGGAGUUGGUGCGUGUCGUGACAUCUUGUUGAUCCUAUUUUGAGACGUCUGAGUUGUAACAAUUUGAUAAUCUUAAACUUCUGCAAUCAACAAUUCAAAUGAAUAAUCAAACUUGUUCAUCAAUCAACUUUCGGAUAAACUUGAUAAUAUGCAUUCAAUAAUAAAGGAGAAUUACAGUAUUUUAAAGUUAAACUAAAUCUUGCACAACUAAUUGUCUCCGUGAACUUAGCUCAGCUAGUAAAGACAAUGCAUAAUAUAUGCAAUCCGGGGUUCAAACCCUGGAUACCAUAAAAUAAAAUAAAAAACAGAUUAGAGGAAACUUUUUUUUAAUGAAUGCUGUAGAACGCAAAUAUUUUUCCUGCACAUAAUCAAUCCCCGAACUCGAAAUCAGGUUUCAAGAACCAUAUUUUUUUUAAAGGGUUUUUUCCCAAUGUUUUUCCUAUUUUAAUAAGUUUUGGUGACGACUUUAUUGUUUUACGAGCAACCCUCGAUUUGUUUUCAAGAAUUUCAAACCUGAAAUUUAAUGCGAGCGACCAUUUUUUUUUUCAUUUUAAAGGAUUUUUUCAAUGUUUUCACUAUUUUCAUAAUUUUUUGUGGUAACUUCAUUAUUUCCGAGCAACCGGUGCAUGCUUUGCAACCCUCAAAUUUUAAGUCACAACGUAGUAAAGUAAAAUAUUAAAACAUAUUACUUAUAUAAUCUAAUAUAAUGAAAUGAAAUAUAGUUUUGCAUGAAGAGUUUGAGGAAGGAAAGCUUGUGAAUCAUGCCAUUUUGGCCGACAUGGUAAGCAUUGAUGCAGUCUACAAUUAUCUUCUAACCUUUUUGAAAAUGUGAAUGUCCUUUCUUAGAAGGAAAUUAGUGGAUGAAUGGUUGGAUUCUUUACAAUAUUGUAUACUUGUUGUAGAUGGAAUAACUUCCGAGGUGACUGGUUAGAUGUUUUACAAGAUUAUGUGCAAAAUAUUGAUAUUACACUCUAUAAGUCCAAGCUUAAAAGCUUAACAAUAAAAUUUGGUACCAAACAAAAUCGUCUCUUGUACCAAGAAAGCUAUGAUACAACUUAUCAACCUUGCUUAAAAUGAAACACUACUUGACAAUACAAAAAAGGAGAUCCUCAAUUCGAGUAAGCGCGAGGGCAAUUCAAAGCAAAUUAUCAACUUUUCAAAAGAGGAUGUAUGAGUGGUAGUAUAGGGCGGAUGAGUAGUAGUAGCUCAUGAGUCAUUUUGUUCAAAGACUGUAUGGAUAAUAGUUGAGGAGUUCUUUAGUAUCUAAUAGUGUAUGGUUUGUUUGGUUAAUCAAACAAAUCAUACAAUAUUCGGUACCUCCUGAACUUCGAAAUUCAUAUUCAUGUAGUCGUGGAGUGAGAAAGCUCAUAAACUAUCAUAUAGGUUCCCUCUUCAACUAAUCUUAUGCCCUAUUUUACGAAAUUGAUAAUUUCCUUUAAAAUGAACUGUAGCGUGAUCCAUUGGAGCGAUCUCUUUUUUUUAUUGUCAAAUAACAUUUUAUUUUCAGCAAAAUGGACAAAUUUUACCACAACUUUAUUGUUACAUGAAAGAUGUUUGUUUGGUACCCUCAUUCUAUCGUUAAACCUUUUGGGCUUGGAGUUUUAGAGUAUUGUUAACAUUAUUUGGCACAAAGUCUUGUAAAUCAUUGACCAACUCAUCAAGGUAGCCAUGAUAUUUAUAGAAUCCAAGGUGUUAUGAUACGAGCAAAGCAAGAAUACCACAUAAGCAAAGUUACGUUGCCCUACUCUUUUAUUUUUUGAAAUUUUCAUAUUCUCGUACUUAUAUCAUACCAAAUACCGUACCCUAUAUCCAUACCUAUUCAACAUGAAUUGAAAGUUUUACCGGCAGUACAAUCAGGAAGAUACGUGUUUUGUUGGUUGUAAGAAUGUGGGAGACAAGGUGAAGAUUGUUGGGUUAAAUUGUCGACGAAUAGUUUUGCAUCUACUAUCAAUGACCUAAAUGAUAUUGUUUUUGGGCAUGAAUGUAUAUUUUCUACUAGUACUAUGUAACAACUAAGGUUUUAAAAUUUCAGUUUUAGUGAAAAAAUUUCAAAAUUGAAUUAAGACAUUAUAUUAAAAUAAGUGACAUGUUUUUACAUAAAGCAAAAGAAAAAAUAAACUUAAAUACAACUGAGAACCCUAAACUCUAGACUCUUGUAAUCAACUCUCAAGACAAAAACAAUUCUACUCGAAAAUAAGCAAACAUAUCAGAAUCAAUUCUACACCCCGCACUCAAUUUUAGUCCAUGUAAAAAUGGAACCAAAUAUACACAAUACUACUACGGGUCUGUUUGGUAACAUCCAAAAAAGAGCUUAUAACUUAUAAGUUCUUUUGACAAAAAAAGCUCUGUUUGGCAACACUUUUUCACCAUGAGCUUAUAGCUUAUUUCACGAGCUUAUAAGCUAUUUUUCAGAAGCUAUUCCAAGUAGCGUUUGAGCUUAUAACUUAUAGCUUCUCACUUUUAAUUCCAGUUUUACCCUUAUUAUUCUAACUAAAUUUCAUUUUUUACCUUUAAUCAUUUAUUAUAUUAUAAAGUAAAAUACAUAUGUUUUAAAUAUGAAUGCUAUUUUUUUUUAUGAAUGAAAGAUCCUUUUUUUUUCUCAAUAGAAAAAGAUAUUUUUUUUACCGUUACGUAAGUUUUUUUCAUUACAAUUGUUACGUUUUUUUUUGUGGGACUAUUUCAAUAUUUAAUGUCACCUUUUUUUUGCGAAAUGACACGUUAUUUUUGUGUGAUACAUCAAAAUUGUAGAGAAUAAGAACAAGGACAAUAAUUUUCUCCAUAGAAAAAAAAAUGAGAAUGUUACGUUUACCUUCACUAUAUAUAUAUAUUUGUACAAACUAUAUUUUAUUUAUUGUUACGUUUAAACUUUUUUACAUCUUAUAUAAUUUUUUUAGGCAAAUGAAUAUAAAUAUAAAUUAACAUUUAGGAAUUAAAAAUUAAUUUAAUAAUAAUAUUAAAUUAACAAUUUUUAAUUUUUAAAUUCUUUAAAAUUAAUUGGUAUAAACUUUGAAUUAAAAAUGUCAUUUCAUGUAAUUUUACAUCUAUCAGUUAAUUGAACUGCUAAUUUUAUCAAACACUUCAAGUAGUUCAUCAGCUAUAAGCUAUCAGCUAGCUUAUCAAUCAUCCACUAUUUUUACCAAAGAGAGCCUACAUAAGCACAAUGACUCCUACAGUCCAUCUCUGCAUCACUUAGGGCCACUCCUUUCACCCAGAAGAUCAAGCCUCUUCACCUCAUCAUUUGCCACUUUAAUACGCUGUUCCAUAUUCUGACAAUGUGAUCUAUGUCAUUCCUUCAUGUCAUGUUUAAUGAGCUUUAGGUUUUCUUUUCACAUAAAAUUCAUAUGCAAAGAUUUGUCAAACCCCUUUAUAAAAGCAUCUUGUCACAUAUUUGUCCAUAAUGGAAAAUAUCAAAAUAUAUUUUUGUAUUUUGUAUGACUUAUGCAAUCAUAAAUCUCUUCUAGCAACAACAACAUUAUCUUCUUUCCACUCUUAUUUUUCAACAUUAUUAGAUGCUAGUCACAAACCAAACAUAAACUUCCAAAAACAGUUAUAAUUUAUGCAUAGUACUAUUACUAAUAUAUUCACAUGCAUAACUGUAUAAUAUAUUUCACAUGUCAUGCUAAGAAGUUCCUACGUGUCUUGCAUAUAAGAAUUGUCAGAUAUCAUACUCUAGAGUAUGUGGUUCCUCUAUCUAUCCCGUGAUCAAACAGUGAUUCAAAUUCAAUUAUUCUUAUGCAUCCACAUCAACUAGGAACAAACUUCCAAAAUAUACUUGGUAAACUUUUUGGAUUUUUCCUGAAAAAUAAAACUACUUUUAAAUACUUAUCUAUCUAGUAGGUAUGCUUGUGUUUUUCUAUUAUUACAUUUUCAAUUUUUGAGAUACAUUAUAAAAUAUGGAUACUCAUUGGAUUAGGACUAUACCGGUACAUGUCGUUGUCUGUGUUUGUGUCCGUGCUUUAUAGGUGAUACAUAGUUGAAUAGUAAAAUCUUUUUUUUUUUACAAAAGUUGAAUAGUAUAAUCAUAUAAGAUUAUGAAAUUGUAAUAUAUUGUUGAAUAGUAAAAUAAUAUAACAUUUUGUAAUACAUUGUUUAAGAAAACAAACCUGAAACCACAUUUUUUAAUUAGUUAAAGAUUAUAGGUAUUAGCAUGAUUGCACAAAAUAGUCUUUCUUAUUUAGGUAUUUACACAAACCCUAAUUUAAUUUGAUUGUCUUUAUCAUAGACAGCUAAAGGAAACUAGUCUACAAAAUCUUAUUAUUUAGAUUGUUUUCAUAGACAGCUAGAAGAAACAAAGAGCAGUAAAAAGAUAGAGGACUAGAUUCUAUUUUUGUUUUCAACAAGUUUCUUGCACGAUAGUUAACCCUAUUUGAGGCAUUGUGUUACACUAAAUGUGAAAUUUCGUUUGUGUGCACUCAAAACAUAUCAUGUAAUUACACACUCGGUACAUUCCUGGUUCUUCGAUUAAAAUCGGACAAGUCAAAUUUCAACCUCAAUAUUAUAGAUUUUAAAAUGUAUUCAAAACCUGCAACGUCCGAUCUUAAUUCAACAACUAUCGAUGUGUCAACUGUGUUAAUGCACGAGAUUUUGACUGCAUGCAAUCCAAAUCCCUAAAUGUGGAUAACUCUCUCCCUCGGAAUUCAAAUUUUAGUUCGCCACAUUAUGGGUUACUACCUAUUCGCUAGACCCAAUAUCGGUUAGUGGAAUAGUUCAUAUUCAAACAAUGGGUAUUACUAAGUAAAGUAGAACAAGUAACCAUUUUACGGUCGUUUCUGAAGAGAUUUGAACUCAAGUUAGUUGAAGUUAAAAGAUCAAACUCUUAUUACUGAUGUGACAUAUGAUUGAGAAAUAGUGUCUUAAAUAUAUUUAUAUAGACCUUCAUUAUUUAUUUAAAAGCACAAUACAAAUUUGCAUUCCCUUCACAAGAAGACAUUAUUUCUGAAAACUCAAACCUCAUCACAAUGUCUUGGUUCCUUACAAUUCUGUUUCUCAGUCUCACAUUUGGUACUAAUUUUUCAGAAGCAAACCAUGACAACAAGAAGCUUCUUCCUUCACCUGUUGUAGUUGGCACUGUCUACUGUGACACAUGUUUUCAACAAGCUUUCUCUCUAAACAGCCACUUCAUUUCAGGUAAUCCAUUUCAACCUCAAAAGGGUACUUCAAUUUUAUAUCUCUUAAAAUGUUGUAAAAUUUUUCUAAACCUUAUCAUAUUUUAUUUUGUCCUUGUUUUUAUGUAUAGGUGCAUCAAUAGCUGUUGAAUGCAAAAUAGGAAAAACAAAACCAAGAUUCUAUAAAGAAGUGAAAACAAAUGAACAUGGAGAAUUCAAAGUGAAACUACCUUUCUUAGUGAAGAAACAUGUGAAGAGAAUCAAAGGGUGUAAUUUUAAGUUGUUAAGUAGUAAUGAACCAAAUUGUGCUAUAGCCUCAACUUCUACUUCAUCUUCACUAAGCCUAAAGAAAAAGUUGCAACAAGAACACAUUUUUUCAGCUGGGAUUUUCUCAUUCAAGCCUAUAAAAAAACCAAAAUUUUGUGACAAAAAACAUAGUAUUCAUAACCUUAAGAAACAACAUAGUUAUGUGAAAAAUUUGGAACAAUCAAAAUUUUCAAGCAAAAAUAAAGUACCUAAUGAAGUUGAAGAUUUCUUCUUUUUUCCUCCAAACCCUUUUUUUCCACCACCUAUUAUCCCUAAUCCACUUCAACCUCCACCUUUGAUUCCUAACCCUUUGCAACCACCACCUUUGAUUCCAAAUCCAUUUCAACCACCAAGUCCACCCUUGAUUCCUAAUCCAUUUCAACCACCAAGUCCACCACUUAUUCCAAAUCCAUUUCAACCUCCUCCAUCAAAUCCACCACUUAUUCCUAAUCCAUUUCAACCUCCCCCAGCAAGUCCUCCACCACUCAUUCCAAAUCCAUUUCAGCCUCCACCAUCAAGUCCACCACCAUCAUUUCCUUUUCCACCAAUAGUAAUACCAGGUUUAACUCCAUCACCACCGCCGCCGCCACCACCAAAAUCAAUUUUUCCUGCUCCCUUA